GAGGGGGUUAUAAGAUCUGCUAACUCUUUAACC
Molecule: transfer RNA, 33 nt
Filed under: Micrurus helleri
Lineage: Eukaryota; Metazoa; Chordata; Lepidosauria; Squamata; Elapidae
Description: Micrurus lemniscatus helleri partial tRNA-Ser
Source: RNAcentral